CCCGCGGCGCAUUAGCUAAUUGGUGGGGUAAUGGCUCACCAAGGCGACGAUGCGUAGCCGACCUGAGAGGGUGAUCGGCCACACUGGGACUGAGACACGGCCCAGACUCCUACGGGAGGCAGCAGUAGGGAAUCUUCCGCAAUGGACGAAAGUCUGACGGAGCAACGCCGCGUGAGUGAUGAAGGUUUUCGGAUCGUAAAGCUCUGUUGUUAGGGAAGAACAAGUGCGAGAGUAACUGCUCGCACCUUGACGGUACCUAACCAGAAAGCCACGGCUAACUACGUGCCACCAGCCGCGGUAAUACGUAGGUGGCAAGCGUUGUCCGGAAUUAUUGGGCGUAAAGGGCUCGCAGGCGGUUUCUUAAGUCUGAUGUGAAAGCCCCCGGCUCAACCGGGGAGGGUCAUUGGAAACUGGGAAACUUGAGUGCAGAAGAGGAGAGUGGAAUUCCACGUGUAGCGGUGAAAUGCGUAGAGAUGUGGAGGAACACCAGUGGCGAAGGCGACUCUCUGGUCUGUAACUGACGCUGAGGAGCGAAAGCGUGGGGAGCGAACAGGAUUAGAUACCCUGGUAGUCCACGCCGUAAACGAUGAGUGCUAAGUGUUAGGGGGUUUCCGCCCCUUAGUGCUGCAGCUAACGCAUUAAGCACUCCGCCUGGGGAGUACGGUCGCAAGACUGAAACUCAAAGGAAUUGACGGGGGCCCGCACAAGCGGUGGAGCAUGUGGUUUAAUUCGAAGCAACGCGAAGAACCUUACCAGGUCUUGACAUCCUCUGACAACCCUAGAGAUAGGGCUUUCCCUUCGGGGACAGAGUGACAGGUGGUGCAUGGUUGUCGUCAGCUCGUGUCGUGAGAUGUUGGGUUAAGUCCCGCAACGAGCGCAACCCUUGAUCUUAGUUGCCAGCAUUUAGUUGGGCACUCUAAGGUGACUGCCGGUGACAAACCGGAGGAAGGUGGGGAUGACGUCAAAUCAUCAUGCCCCUUAUGACCUGGGCUACACACGUGCUACAAUGGACAGAACAAAGGGCUGCGAGACCGCAAGGUUUAGCCAAUCCCAUAAAUCUGUUCUCAGUUCGGAUCGCAGUCUGCAACUCGACUGCGUGAAGCUGGAAUCGCUAGUAAUCGCGGAUC
Molecule: ribosomal RNA, 1127 nt
Filed under: Bacillus pumilus
Lineage: Bacteria; Bacillati; Bacillota; Bacilli; Caryophanales; Bacillaceae
Description: bacterial SSU rRNA
Rfam family: Bacterial small subunit ribosomal RNA
Source: RNAcentral